This 334-nucleotide ribosomal RNA is filed under the name uncultured bacterium. RNAcentral describes it as "bacterial SSU rRNA". It matches the Rfam family "Bacterial small subunit ribosomal RNA", at positions 568 to 898 of the family's 1533-position model. The record is from RNAcentral.
CGUUUAGGCGGGUGACUAAGUUCGCUAUGAAAGCGCCGGGCUAAACCCGGCGAGGCUGGCGGAUACUGGUGAUCUGGAGUGAGGUAGAGGGAAGUAGAAUUCCGCGUGUAGUGGUGAAAUGCGUAGAGAUGCGGAGGAAUACCAGUGGCGAAGGCGACUUCCUGGACCUUAACUGACGCUGAAGCGCGAAAGCAUGGGGAGCGAACGGGAUUAGAAACCCCGGUAGUCCAUGCCGUAAACGAUGUGCACUAAACGUUCGGUUUCCGCGAGGGAGCUGGGUGUUGAAGCUAACGCGGUAAGUGCACCGCCUGGGGAGUACGGUCGCAAGGCUAAA